Molecule: non-coding RNA, 938 nt
Organism: Chelonia mydas (Green sea turtle)
Lineage: Eukaryota; Metazoa; Chordata; Testudines; Cheloniidae
Source: the annotation of a RefSeq genome assembly
ACAGUCCAUUAGUGAAGGGAUGUCUGAUAAGAGCAACUGACAGCAGUAAGGGGUUAAUUUACUAGACAGGAAUAAGUGAAUGUAAUAGCUUGGAUAAAGGUGGCUAACGGUAGGUAUGAGAACCAUUUGCAAGGGUGCAAAGAGGGAAAGGAGGCCCCAUCUCCAGGACCAUUUAAAGUGAGUACUGCGACAAAGACCUAGAGACUACACUGUAGGGGGUAAUCCUGCCCUGGCUAUGGGAUUGGAGAAGGAAGAGGAUGGAUUCAAUAUCACCACCCCCAAAGUGGCCAUCUUUCCCCCGUCGAAGCAGGAGAUCAAAGAGAAGAGGAAGGCCACCCUGGUGUGCCUGGUCACAGAUUUCUACCCUGAUCACAUCAAGCUGGUUUGGCGGGUGAACGAUGUUGAGAGGAAAGAGGGGGUGAGGACAGAUGAAUCUAUCAUGGACAAAGCCUCAAAAAAAUACUCACUGACCAGCCGCCUGAGGAUCUCACACCAGGAAUUUUCCAACUCCAAGAAUAGAUUCCAGUGCUUUGUUGAGUUCUACGAGAAUUACACACACACAUAUGAAGAAGUCAUCCGUGGUGCAGCUGGUUGCAGUGUCUCAGAAGAGUCGUAUCUGAGAAGUGCCAUGGCAGGCAAGAGUGUGUAUGUUCUGCUCAUUUUCAAGAGUGCCUUGUAUGGGGUCUUUGUGAUGGGGCUAAUGCUAAGGAACAAGAAAGUGCAGUAGAAGAAGCUGGCCUGAGGCGGAUGGCACAGCUGCCUGGAGAAAGAAGGAGCUGCAGCUGCAUUCGUUUUACAAGUCCUCAUUUGUUUCAGAAACCAGCACAGCACUUAGGCUUUUGUUACAAUAAAUGUACAAAGACCGCAAUUUGGGGUUGUCUGGCUGUAUUUGCUUGUUUGAAACAGCAGCUUUUAAUAAACAUUUAUGGAAUCCUUAA